Cucumis melo (muskmelon) is the source of this 103-nucleotide non-coding RNA. The record is from Rfam. Lineage: Eukaryota; Viridiplantae; Streptophyta; Magnoliopsida; Cucurbitales; Cucurbitaceae.
GUCCCUUUGGUGACAUUCGAUAAAAUUGGAAUGAUACAAGGAAGAUUAGCAUGGCUCUUGUGUAAGGAUGACAUGCACAAAUCACGAAAUGGUCCAAUUUAUU